Molecule: ribosomal RNA, 480 nt
Filed under: uncultured bacterium
Lineage: Bacteria
Description: partial 16S ribosomal RNA
Rfam family: Bacterial small subunit ribosomal RNA
Source: RNAcentral
ACUCAAAGGAAUUGACGGGGACCCGCACAAGCAGCGGAGCGUGUGGUUUAAUUCGAUGCGACGCGAAGAACCUUACCAGGGCUUGACAUGCUCUCGCACCGGCCAGAGAUGGUCGUGCCCGCAAGGGACGGGAGCACAGGUGCUGCAUGGCUGUCGUCAGCUCGUGCCGUGAGGUGUUGGGUUAAGUCCCCCAACGAGCGCAACCCCUAUCGUUGGUUGUAUUUUUCCAGCGAAACUGCCCGCAAGGGAGGAAGGAGGGGAUGACGUCAAGUCAGCACGGCCCUUACGUCCUGGGCUACACACACGCUACAAUGGCUGGUACAAUGGGCUGCGAAGCGGCAACGCGGAGCCAAUCCCAGCAAAGCCAGCCUCAGUUCAGAUUGGUGGCUGCAACCCGCCACCAUGAAGGUGGAGUUGCUAGUAACCGCAGGUCAGCACACUGCGGUGAAUACGUUCCCGGGUCUUGCACACACCGCCCGU